GUCCAGCAGGAAGAGACUAAGGUGAAUCCUAAGGGAAUUCUUCUCCCACCUUCAAGCUGGGGAGAGCCUGCCCUGGUCCUCGUCCGCUCUCUUGGCUUGGCUGUUCCCAUGUACAGGAUAUUUGUAAGUUGGGCGUUUCUCGGUCACCUGUAUUUACUUGUGUGAUACAGAUGUUUAUUUUAACAUAGUAGCUGUUUAUCCAGGUAAAAUUACAUUAUAAUUUAAGGUUUAGUUUUGCUUUAAAAACUUUUUCUUCAUUUUGACUAAUUUCAGCCCUGAUUAUGUUCUUGUGCUUCUUUAAUGGGUUAAAGGCAUUAUUUUUAUGCAAAUGGAAAGGGUGUGUAUGGUUGCAGUAAAACAUUCCGUUUUCUGGUUGUUAUUAGGAGGAAAUGAGAGAAGUGGGUGGGGCAGUGUGGUGCGCGCGCGUGCACGUGCGUGUGUGUGUGUGUGUGUGUGUGUGUGUGUGUGUGAUUUGAAUUUGACCAAAGUUAUGUAAUUUGAAAAUGACCCAGAGGUGUGUUGUUCAAACCAAUAUAUGCUUUAAGAUAUCAAAAAUUGUGUUUGUACUCAAGAGAGUUCUUUUUCACUAGUGUAUUUGGAAAUAUUUCAGGCCAUUUUUUAAAGCAGAAGUUAUAGACCUAAAUCUUUGAAGGUUUUUUCUCCCCUGGGAGCUCUUUGAAUAUAUAAAAAGUUUUUAAGGAUUUUUAAAGGCUAGAUGGCAGCAAGUAAAUUCUUUUCUGCUCAUCCUAAGUAAAUAUCUCUGUGAUGUAGGUGCGUCAUCAAAGUUAUCUUAUGAGGUGCCUGUGACCCAAAGGGAAAAUAAUUUGUUUAGUAACUUGAUUUUCUUCCUUUUUUAUGAUUCACAAGUUGUCAAAUUCAUACUGUUUGGGGCAUUAUAAAUGUGGGAACUUGCAAAUGAGUAACAAAUUUACGGUGUAAAUCAACUGAAACGUAUAUGAAGUCCUGCUGGAUUCUUAGGAGGUCUCUUGGUGUUUCUGAACCACACUUCUCUUUUCUAGGAUUCUGUUUCAAGACACAGUCAUAAAUGCAAAAGGAAGAUCUCAGCACCCAGUUACAUUCAUCUUUAUAAUUUUGGGCCCCUUCAGCCCCUCCCAAACAUUGGAAGGCUAUCUGGAGUUGGAAUUGCUGAGACAAGGAAAGCUUUUCUUCCAGAGGGUUUUUUAAGGAAAAAUUAUACUUUAAGGUUAUGAGUAUAGAAUUACAACACAGACAACUCAUAAUACUUAAUAAGCCUCUCUAGAUCAAUCUAGAUUAUCUCUAAAAUGUCUAUUUCACCCAGCCCCAUAAUUACAUACUUGGGGAAGUAAAAUUGAGUGUACAGAGUUUUCAGAGUGGCAGAUCUAUUUGGAAUCAUUCUAACCCAAUUGUUCAUUUUGUAGGAAAGGGAACUGGAGACCAGAGGGAUUUGGGGACUUGAAUAAGGCUGCUGUUACUGAGGGCAGAGCUAGGAGUGUGAUGGCAAGCAACAGUGAGAGUGUCUGUCACCUAUUAAAGGCCCUCUAUUUCCUGGGUUUACUUACAUCUUUUCAUUUCACCCUCACAACAAUUUUGCAAGGCAUGGAUCAUAUUCCAGUUUUUAAAAUGACAAAACUGAAACGUGGGAGGUUCUCUAACUGCGCAAAGUCAAUAGGCAUUAGGAGGCAGAGCAGGAAGUCAAAUGCACACCCCCUGAUUCUGAAGGUCUGGCGUCUCCUGGCUCGAGCUGUUUUCCACUGUACCAGGUUGGCUCCCAGGCCUCAGUAUAGCCUGAAAUCCAAGCAGCAUUCAUUUGUUAUACAUGUUUACAGGCAUAACUCAUCUUAUUGUGCCUCAUUGUAGCACACUUCACAGAUAAUGCAUUUUUUACAAACUGAAGUUCUGGCACCCCUGCGUCGAGCAAGUCUUUCUGCACCAUUUUUCCAAAACCAUUUGCUCACUUUGUGUCUCUGUGUCACAUUUCGGUAAUUCUCACAAUAUUUCAAACGUUUUCAUUAUUAUUAUAUUUGUGAUGGUGGUCUGUGAUCGGUGAGCUUUGAUGUUACUACUAUGACCUGCUGAAGGCUCAAGUGAUGGUUAGCACUUUUUAGCAAUAUUUUAAUAAAGAUAGGUACAUUUUUAGAUGUAAUGCCAUUGCUCACUUAAUAGGCUGCAUCAUAUAGUGUCAACAUAACAUUUAUACGUACUGGGAAACCAAAAACUUCGUGCGACUCACUUUAUUGCAAUAUUUGUUUCAUUGCGGUGGUCUGGAGCCACAUCCACAAUGUCUCUGAGGUAUCCCUGUAUAGGUGUUAUGUCGAGAGCAUCUUUAUCUAAGCAACCACUGGGUUACUGAAUUUAAUGGGUAGUAGUCUGGGGUAUUGGGUCUCCUUGCCUUAGUUUUUCUGACAAAAAUGAUUAUUCCUCUCCAACUAGAUUCAAUAAUAUUCCAAAAUUUGUCUUCAAUUAAUACCUCCUUUUCUUCUUUGGAAAAUACAUACUUUGAAAUGUCUAACUCCUUUAUUUAGAUUUAAAGAAGAGUACAGUCCUUUCUCUCAUUCAGUGAUUCAUCCGUUUAUUCAUUUAUUCAUUCAAUAACUAUGUAUCGAAUGUCUACUCUGAGCAGACACUAUUCUAGGUUUUGGAGACACUGCUCUGAGCAAAACAGACGCAUCCCUGCCCUGCUGUUACUUUAUCCUACUGUGUCAGGAGAUAGCCAAUAAAUAGCAGAAAAUAAAGUAAGUGAGAUGGUGAUAAAUGUCCU
Phocoena sinus (vaquita) is the source of this 2740-nucleotide long non-coding RNA. The record is from Ensembl. NCBI's taxonomy places the organism in Eukaryota, Metazoa, Chordata, Mammalia, Artiodactyla, Phocoenidae.